UACGUAGGGCGCAAGCGUUGUCCGGAAUUAUUGGGCGUAAAGAGCUCGUAGGCGGCUUGUCACGUCGGGUGUGAAAGCCCGGGGCUUAACCCCGGGUCUGCAUUCGAUACAGGCUAGCUAGAGUGUGGUAGGGGAGAUCGGAAUUCCUGGUGUAGCGGUGAAAUGCGCAGAUAUCAGGAGGAACACCGGUGGCGAAGGCGGAUCUCUGGGCCAUUACUGACGCUGAGGAGCGAAAGCGUGGGGAGCGAACAGG
RNAcentral lists this ribosomal RNA (253 nucleotides) under uncultured bacterium. Its description in RNAcentral is "partial 16S ribosomal RNA". It matches the Rfam family "Bacterial small subunit ribosomal RNA", at positions 524 to 776 of the family's 1533-position model. The record is from RNAcentral.